GAUGAGAUCGUACAUCAUGGUUCAGG
This 26-nucleotide non-coding RNA is filed under the name Mus musculus (house mouse). RNAcentral also lists the same sequence under 1 other name. The record is from RNAcentral. Lineage: Eukaryota; Metazoa; Chordata; Mammalia; Rodentia; Muridae.